RNAcentral lists this ribosomal RNA (253 nucleotides) under uncultured bacterium. RNAcentral describes it as "partial 16S ribosomal RNA". It matches the Rfam family "Bacterial small subunit ribosomal RNA", at positions 524 to 776 of the family's 1533-position model. The record is from RNAcentral.
UACGUAGGGGGCAAGCGUUGUCCGGAAUCAUUGGGCGUAAAGAGCGUGUAGGCGGCUUGGCAAGUCUGACGUGAAAUCCCGCGGCUCAACCGCGGUAGGUCGUUGGAAACUGCCUCGCUAGAGUCCGGAAGAGGAGAGCGGAAUUCCUGGUGUAGCGGCGGAAUGCGCAGAUAUCAGGAAGAACACCCGUGGCGAAGGCGGCUCUCUGGGACGGUACUGACGCUGAGACGCGAAAGCGUGGGGAGCGAACAGG